AUUGAACGCUGGCGGCAUGCCUUACACAUGCAAGUCGAACGGCAGCACGGGAGCAAUCCUGGUGGCGAGUGGCGAACGGGUGAGUAACGUAUCGGAACGUGCCCAGUCGUGGGGGAUAACGUAGCGAAAGUUACGCUAAUACCGCAUACGAUCUAUGGAUGAAAGCGGGGGAUCGCAAGACGUCGCGCGAUUGGAGCGGCCGAUAUCAGAUUAGGUAGUUGGUGGGGUAAAGGCUCACCAAGCCGACGAUCUGUAGCUGGUCUGAGAGGACGACCAGCAACACUGGGACUGAGACACGGCCCAGACUCCUACGGGAGGCAGCAGUGGGGAAUUUUGGACAAUGGGCGCAGGCCUGAUCCAGCCAUGCCGCGUGCAGGAUGAAGGCCUUCGGGUUGUAAACUGCUUUUGUACGGAACGAAAAGGUUUGGCUUAAUACGUUGAACUCAUGACGGUACCGUAGGAAUAAGCACCGGCUAACUACGUGCCAGCCGCCGCCGUAA
Molecule: ribosomal RNA, 500 nt
Filed under: uncultured bacterium
Lineage: Bacteria
Description: partial 16S ribosomal RNA
Rfam family: Bacterial small subunit ribosomal RNA
Source: RNAcentral